UUUUUUCGGUUAAUAUUUUAAAGCUAGAGGAUAAAAUGGAUCACUAAAAACUGGAAAGUGACUCAGAUGACAAUGCGUAUCGAUGACAUAGGAAAAAAAAAAUACACAUACUGUAUGACAAGGAUUUCUGAUACAUAGAAAGCAAGGAUGUGAAUACACAAACACAACCUUAGUUUAUUGAAAAUACAAAGCAUGUUUCAGGCAAAACAUAGGAGUAAAUUCACGAGUUUGUUACCCACAAACUCUAUCUCUCACAUGUGCUGCAAACUAGCUUAUUUAGAAAGAGCUGAUCAAAUCACCCUCUGACGAUGAUCUGGUUUCUAUAUUUCUGUUUCCGUUGACCCUCCUGCAGUUCGAUCUAAUCUCCCCUUGAUUGCCUGUCAAUGGUUUCAAGUUCCCCAUUCUUAUCAUUGAAACCACAAAGCUUUUAAAGAAAGCAGCCUGGUUGCUACUAAAGACACUGACAAUGGCAGCGGUAUCGGCACCGGGAGUCGAAAACAAUUCUUGAUCACUCUGCAGAAGGCCCUUGCCGAUUUGAAGAUUGAAGAAGUAUUUGUUGUCAAACAAAUCAGGUGUUGUGACAUCCAGAUUAGUUAGAACGCUGCCGUUUCCACCUUGUGGGCAUAGUUGCCUAAGUUGUUGUAAGAGGGUUGUGUUAAGUGUUGGGUCUGGAUUGCCAGUGUUGUUGAAAUUGAAUAAUCUAUCGCUAAAAGUUCGGCACUGAGCCCUUCCAAAUGUGUGAGCUCCUGAAAAACAGGCAUAGCCAAUCUUUGUUAUUUUUACUCAAAUUCAUACAAUUUAUGGAUAAUAAUUGAGUUUCAUUAUUUUCUUUUUGGGAAGCAAUUCAAAUUUCAUGAUGUGAUUAAGGGGAGUAAAUUUGUCAAACGUUUUAACAUAUUCCUAAUCACCAAUGUCAAACUUUAGAACACAAUUUCUUCGCAUCAUUAGGAUAUUCAGUCAAGCCUCCUAGGUGCAGUAGAGUAAGAAUGUGCUUUGUGUCGGUGGUCGUCUUAGUAAGAGUAAUAAUGAUAAAAGAAUUGAUAUUUAGUGGAGGAAAAUGCUAAGUAUCAAGAAGAACGAGAGAAAGACGAGAGAAUAAAGCAUGUGCUGAGAGAAGAGAGAGAGAAGGCAAAACGGCAGCUUGGAUUGUAGUUUCUCUCGUCUUUCUCUCGUUCUUCUUGAUGUUCAGCAGCACUCGUUAGUGGAUGAGAUUUCUCAUCCUUAUCAAAAUUUAUUUUUUCUUUUUAAAUAAGAUAUUCAACAUUUAGGAUCAGACUAUGGUGCAACUGUUGUACCGUGCCACAAUUGCAUCCAGCCGUUGGAUGCACUUAGAUUGGUGGGGUCUACUGGCAUCCAACGACUGGAUGCAACUGUGGCACGGUACCACAGUUGCACCACAGGUUUCCCCCAUCAUUUAAACUAUCUCUAUGAUUUCAAGACUCAAUAUUGGCAUUAAAAAAUUUUCCACCUCCAGAUUUCUAAUUCUGUCUCCAGUACUGCUUUAUCCCAAAAGACUCCUAGGUCUGUUUGUACUCAAGUCAAAGGGUGUAUAAGCAAAUAUUACCGGAGAGUGCGACAAGAUCAAAAUUAUCGUUAAGGCCAACAUUUCUGAAUCUAUCUCUGAGCCUCUCAAGACUAUUGUUCGGUCCUGGAAGAUUUUCAUUUGCAAGAGUCCUGUUUGCUGUUCUGCUGUCUCUUCUUCCCAAUAGAUUUGUCCAUGAAGGACCCCCUGACUGUUACCAAAACCACGAUCAUUAGUCAAAAGCAUCACUUGAGAGAUGCAUAAUAAACAAAUUUAACUAAAAUCAGAAAUAGACAUGCAAUUAAUCUUUCCGACUCUAUUUGGCUAAUAUUUAUGUGGUUCUUGUUGCACCCAAAAUUAGCAGUUUCCCGACGUUAUAAUUUUGAGUGAACGGUUCAACCAGACUGUAUCAUAUAAAGAAGAUUUUUUUUUUUUUUUUCAAAAUAUAUACUGGAACCCAACACGUAAAACUGAUGUGUCUUCGAUGAAUCUCAUCACUUUUUUUUUUGUCUGGGGGCGCCGGGGGGGGGGGGGGGGGGGGGGAGAAGGAUAGCCUUCCCUUUUCAGUUUUCAUACGGUAAAGUUUGUCCAGGCACUAUCACGAAGUCAACAUGGUAAUGUCGGUGGACUGUUGCCGCCUAAAACUAAGCACGUGGAUUCAUUUAGUUAAUGUACUCAGGGUCUAAAAAUUCCAACACGAAUGUAAAGUCAAACUUACUCUCUGAUACCAUAUAAAUUUAAUCACUUUUAAGCUUAAAAUAUGUAGUCGAGCAAGAUGAGGAGUUGUUAAUAGAAAUUCACUACCAGAGCAACAGAUUCUUCAGCUGCAAUAGUAAGAAUAUCAGCACAGGAAACAACGCCUGGACAGGCCCUUUCAACGGCAGCUUUCAUGUCAUCAACAACUUCAAAACCCCUCGCCGAAUUAUUAUUUGGCGCAGCAAAUUUCUCACUCUCUAUGGUAGUAGUAUUGUCCAGCAAAAUCGAUGCAUCACAGCCCUGAAAUAACAUCAAAAACUUGUUGCGAUCAACUGCUGUUGUAUCGUUAAUUUAAUAAUUAGGUAUACGAUUAAUAAAAAUAAUGCAAACUUGUGCAUUUUCUUUUUGGAUAAACGUACAUAUAUACAAAUUGUCUUACUGCAAUAUAAGUUUUUAAGACCAGGAUUCCCUCAUGACGUAAGCUUUUCUUAAGCUUAAUUGUGAUUAUUAGAAGUUAAGGAUAUAAGUGUACGUAGUUAUAUUUCAAUCAUAUAUUACUAAUAAUGGACAUGUUACACAAGAUUUUUAAAAAUACUAUGCAGAGUUCAGAUUAGGAGAGGACUUUAAUUCAUGUUUUACAAUAUUAAUUGAAGAAGAAGAAAAAUGAAAGAGUAGAGAUUGAUCACAUUAACAAAACAGUCAUGGAAAUGAAGCCUGAUGAGGCUGGCACCGAUACGAAUAUCGGACAAGAAAGCAUUCUGAAGCACCUCCCGAAUUAUGUUGGUUACAUUAGGGCAUGUGGAAGAAUAAAAAAAGGGGGAAAGUUGAGCUUGAGCUGGUGAUGAUCCCUCAAGCACAAAUGCAACUACAAGAGCAGCUGCAAGAAGAUAACGAAGAGAAGCCAUUUUGCAAUGAUGAGAAUGAGAGUUAUUUCUGAGCCUUCUAUGUACGCGACUCUUUAUUUAUAGCCAACCAAACUAAACAGGAGUAGAACUUGGCAACGUCUUCUAUAUUCGCGCCUCUUUAUUUAUAGCCAACCAAACUAAGAAGUUUCACAUUGUAUUGUAAAAGUCUACUGUUUGAAAACAAAAGCUUAACUUAUAUGAUGAGAUAAUUACAUUAUCGAUUUUCUCCCUCUAGUUUGGUGAAAGCAUAUUUUUCUCCACAUACUUUUGAGGUGGUAACGAUCAUUUAUUAGUUGCAUCUCAGUAUUCUAGAAGUAUGUCAAGUGUAGCUCGGUUGAUUGUGAACGUACUUUGUGUCUGUGAUCACCCGAGUUCUAAUAAUAAUAUAGGGCAAAGGUUGUUAUUUAGUGGAUGAGAUUUCUUAUCUCCAUUAGAACAUUUUCUUUCAUUUUUCUUAUUAGACAAAAGAAAAUGUAAUACAACAUGGAUAUUAAAAAGAUAAGCUUAUGUAAUUCAUCUCACUAUUGGAUCUAACUUUUAAAGUAGGUAAAAUAUUUUUUAUCUUACAUGUAACUUAAAAUUCAAAUAAAUCUGACAUGUUAAGGUAAAAAAGGAGAAUAAUUAAGUAAAUAAUUUUGACUAAGACAUUUAUUUUUAAAUAUUUUUUUUAAAAUACAAAGGCUAGAUAGAUAAUUGUCUCAAACCUUAAAAGGUCAAAAGAACAUUUAUCCCAAAAAAAAAAAUGUGAGGAUAUUUUCACUGCGCUUUUUAUGUAACAGCACCAUGUCUUUUUAUAUUUUUAUAAUUACGAUUUUAUCCUUUAAAAUAAACUAUUCGAAACUCGUGCACUUAUCCUUAAAUCAUAUAUGUUUAACCAAAGAGAAUGAACGGGAAUUUUCUACGAAAGAAUUAGAUUUGUCAGUUUAAGAAAAUACAAUCACUACUAGAAAAAUGGACUUUACUGACACUUCGUUACUGACACUUUGCAAAAAGUGUCAGUACUUAUGUACAUAUGCACCAUUUUCCGCUUUUGACAAAUAGGAAUCAGAGAUUAAUGAUACUAGGGUGUCAGUAAACUAAACAUCAAAAAUCACUAACACUAAAGUAUCAAUGAUAAAAAAAAUUCAUAAAAAUUUUGUUUUAGCUCCAACUCGAACCUGGGAGCUCUAAGAUUUAAAGCUUUAAUGUUUGGAGCACAGACCAUCAAAUCUCGAUGAGUCAAAGUCAUAAUAAUAUUUAAAUUAUUAAAAAAUGAAAAUAUAAAUAACAAUAACAUAAAACACACUUGUUCUCCCCAUCUAGACUAUAUCGACUGUCUCUAUCUUGCUUUCAUCGUUCACUUUCGCUUUCGUUUUUCUCUUCUCGAUCUCUUCUGUUUUGCACUAUCCAUUUACAAAUUAAAUUCAAUUAAUUUAGAUAGAUAAUGAAAACCUAAAACUCUGAUUCGUUUUUCCAUUUUCCCCAAAUUGAAACACAAACCAAAACCCUAAUCGCUUGUUAUCGAAGGGGUUUUUCUCCAACUUAACCAUCCAGUGCCUAUACUAGGCAAGCAAGUAAAAGCCAUCGACAAGGGGUGAAGUGGCACCAUCGGUUCGGUAUUCAGGUAAUCUCAUUCUCCCUGACAAGUUAAGUCCAGAGAAAGAACUGUAGAGGAGGUUAUCAGCUGGUAAUGGCAGAAUGUUUUAUUUGUUUGUGCAAUUUAAUUAUUGGGUUUGUUUUAAUUUGGCUUAUGAAUAAUAUUUUUGAAUUUUUAUUUUUGGGUUGUUUCAGAUAUUCAGAAAUUGAACAGUCGUGCAACCCUGGUGGGUUUUGUUUUCCAAAUAUUUUUUUUAUUUAUUUAUUCGUAACUUGAAAUUUUUGUUCUUAUUUUUCUAUAUCUUCACUCACAUGCAGUCCAAAAAUACAGGCAUUUUAAGUGGUGCAUUACUUAAACUCAAAACACUUGCUGCUGCGACUCUGUUUUUUCUGCCACAUUUGAGGUCAGUUUCAAACUUUUGUGCAUGUGAUUUACUGUCAUUGUUAUUUAAAACUAAGAAUGUGCAUUUUUUUUAGUUUCUGAAAUAAACUGUUAGCUCCGUUUCUUAACUUUGAGCAAUAAGUUAGUUGAUUUUGAAUGUACUAAAAUAUGAAAUUUGAUUUUAGCUUUUGCCUUUGUGAUUAGGAGAUGAUUGUUUGGGUGUUAUAUUGGCUGAAUGACUGUGUAUUUAGUGGUUACAAACUAUUUACAUCUCUGUUUCAUGUAAAGAGAGGCAAAUUUUGUUAUAUAAUCCUACUUGUUUAUUUAUUCUGUUUUGGUUGGACGAUUUGUAAUAGAGACAAUGACUAUGAUAUGAAUUAAUUAAGUUCGUGGUUGUGAGUAUUGUGAGAUUGUAUAAAGUUGAUGAUUUGUGUUUGAUUCAAUAAAGAAAUGCUUGUUUUAAAGUAGUUCUGCAUGUUGUUUUUGAAGUUAAAAAAUGAUUUAUAGAAUCUUAAAAAAUGGCUUGCAAAGUGGUAUGAAGACAUUAUUUAUUUGAACUCUUAACUUUUGUUAGUUACUUGACUUAUGAAUUAGUUCGACUACUUAAAAAGCCAUUAGCACCCAUCUUACCUAUUAAUCUCCUAUUUAAGUUUCAAAACUUAUUUUGUUUCAAUUUCAGGAUUUUGUCUAAAUUAUUAUUAUAAUUAAUGAUUUAUAGGGCUAUUAAUGAUUUUCCAGAAUUAUAAGUUUAUUAUUACAACUAUAAUCAUAAUAACAUUGAACUUUAAAUUAAUCAUGCAAUUUAAUUAAACUUAAACUAACAUUACAUAUGUGAACAGGUAAAAUAUUUGAAAUGGACAGAAGUUGGAUAACUUGUGAUAGAUUGUCUGUAGAGUAUCGUUCUGGAGUUGCUGAUUUCUUAGAUUUUGCCAUUUUGAAUGUUGAAAAUCGAAUGUCAAUUAGAUGUCCUUGCACCUUUUGUUGUAACAUGGAGUUUCAUACUCCUCAACAAGUGAAGGAUCAUUUAUUUGAAAAAGGUUUUCUCCCAAGAUAUAUUGUUUGGACUUGGCAUGGUGAGACUGACUCUAAAUCUACAUUUACAAACUGUGAAGACCAUUCACAUAGUCAAAGAUUUAGAUGUCAUGAUUACAGUAAUAUAAUUGACAUGGUCGAAGAUGCUUACGAGCAUUGUGAUAGAGAUCCUAGUUCUUUUAAGGAUAUGCUUGAAGAUGCUGAAAAGCCUUUGUACCCGGGUGCAAAACAUUCAAAGUUAUCUAGUUUAAUGAGACUUUACAAUGUGAAAGGGAACUAUGGGUGGUCCGAUACAGGGUUUUCUGCUUUGUUAGAAGUCCUUGCUGAUAUUUUUCCAAAUAAUAAUACUCUACCUAUGUCAAUGUACGAGGUUAAGAAAACAAUGAAAGUGUUAGGCUUAGAGUAUGAAAAAAUACAUGCAUGUCCAAAUGACUGCAUUUUGUAUAGGAAUGAAUUUGCUGAUCUUGCUGAAUGCCCAAAUUGUGGAGCAUCUAGGUAUAAAAAAAAAAAAGAUAGCUCAACAAAAUUUAGGAAAGGGGUUCCUAAAAAGGUAUUAUGGUAUUUUCCACCUAUUCCUAGGUUGAAAAGAUUGUUUCAAUCACCACAAACAGCUCAAAAUUUAACAUGGCAUGCUAAUAAAAGAAUUAGAGAUGGCAAACUUCGCCACCCAGCAGACUCACCAGCCUGGCAACUAAUUGACAAUAAGUGGCCAAAAUUUGCACAAGAACCUAGAAAUCUCCGUUUAGCUCUCUCAACUGAUGGGGUUAACCCACAUAGUACACUUAGCACUACUUAUAGUUGUUGGCCUGUUAUAUUAAUAACAUAUAAUCUUCCUCCAUGGUUGUGUAUGAAGAGAAAGUUUUUGAUGUUGUCACUUUUGAUAUCUGGCCCUAAACAACCUGGAAAUGAUCUAGAUGUAUACCUAGCACCUUUGAUUGAGGACUUAAAAACUCUAUGGGAUGUAGGUAUUGAUGUUUAUGAUUCUUAUAGAAAAGAAACCUUUAAUUUACGGGCUGUCUUGAUGUGGACAAUUAGUGACUUUCCAGCAUACGGAAACCUCUCUGGUUGUACUGUUAAGGGCUAUUAUGCUUGCCCAAUUUGUGGGAUAGACACUUGUGCAUGUUGGCUGCCACAUAGUAGGAAAAUGUCAUAUAUGGGCCAUCGCCGCUUUCUACCACUCGGUCACCUAUUUCGGAAACUGAAAAAGGUUUUUAAUGGGAAGCAAGAGUGGAAUGAGCCUCCUAAAACUUUGUCUGGUGAGGAAAUCUUUAAUAUGGUGGAAGAUAUAGAUAUUAAGUUCGGGAAAAAGAAGGCCAAAAAGCGGAAACAUGAUGGCGGUGGUGGUGGUGGUGGUGAUGAGAACAUAACUGAAAAAUUGUACAAAAAAAAGUCAAUCUUUUUUGAGUUAGAUUAUUGGAAGCAUUUAUUAGUUCGCCAUCAAUUAGAUGUCAUGCACAUUGAAAAAAAUGUGUGCGAAAACAUAUAUGGCACAUUACUUCAUCAACCAGGCAAAACAAAAGAUGGGAUUAAUGCUAGAAAAGAUCUUGAGUCUUUGAAGAUCAGGGGAAAACUAGUUCCUGAUGAAACAAAUAAAAAAAACAAAGUCCUACCUCCAGCUCCUUAUACUUUGAGUAAAAAAGAAAAAAAACAGUUUUGUGAAACCUUGCUGAGUGUGAAAGUCCCUGAUGGGUAUUCUUCCAAUGUCCAAAACCUUGUUUCAAUAGAUGAUUGUCGGCUUCAAGGCCUUAAGUCCCAUGACUGUCAUACUUUGAUGCAACAAUUUCUACCACUAGCCAUUCGAAACUGUUUGCCUAUAAAUGUGAGAACGGCCAUAAUCAGGAUGUGCUUCUUUUUUAAUACAUUGUGCUGUAAAGUGGUAGAUCCUAAUACUCUUGACCAAUUGCAAGAGGAACUUGUAAUCAAUUUUUACUUUGUUUAGUGCCCACUGGGUGUUAUUGGCAAUUGAUAUGGUGAGACGUACAACCUAUUACCUUGAUCCUUUGGAAGGUAGUCCUGAUGAAGAGCUAAUGCAGAUUGUCAAUCAGUUAAGUUUGUUAUUUGUAUCUUUGAUCAUGCUAUUUUAUUUUUAUGUCUUAUGCUAAUUAUUUGCUAACGUUAGCUAUGUCUCUUAAUUGUAGGGGGAUUCGAAUACAUCAGAGUUUAAAUUCUGAUACAAAGGCCAAUGUUCAAUGGAUACCUGUCAAGGUAAAAAUCAGACAAACCUAACUAAUUAUUGUUAACGUACAGUAAAAAAUUAAUGUAAUUUUGAUCUUGUAGUGUCCGAGGCAGCCGAGCAGCUUUGAAUGUGGUUACUAUGUGAUGAAAUACAUGCAAGAUAUCAUCACAAAUGUGAACGUUCUGAAAAAUAAUGUAAGUAUUGAAAAUGAUUUUUACAAUACUGUAUCAUAUUGUUUUAAUUUAUUGUGAAAUGAAUCAGCUCAAACACCUGUGUGCUUCUUUACAGUUAUCUUUUUAUUGCGUAUUGUAUGCAUUUUAUGAACUGUGAGGGUACUUAUAAUGGUGACUAUGUUGCAUACUGUUGAAUAGAUUAUAUGAAUAUCCAUAUAGACAUGAAUUAGGAUUUGGGAUAUACACAAUGUACUGCAUAUCCCAACACAAAACAAUUGUUUGGGUUGCAAAGUAGUUGUUAGUGGGGAUGUGCUAUGGUGUCGUUGCUUGUACUUUACUUUGAUGAGGAUAAGUUGUCAUCCUAAUUAAGGUUUUGUAUGUACAUCCAUAUUUGUAUUAAAUCGCGUACUGUUGGGGUUCACAAGUUGCUUCGGCUAUCAAAUAUUGUUGUUGUUGGGGUUCACAAGUUUUUUUUUUUGGAAUUACCAUGAUCAGGAUGUUCAGUAUUUACCUAUAUAAUUUUGGAUAAAACAGUAACAUUGUUGGAGUUUAUUUGUUGGCUUUAAUUGUUAACACACAAAUGUAUUUAAAUGAAUGAUAAUUAAGUAGUUUAGUCAAGGAUUUUCGGUGAAUAACUUGUUGUUUUAAAAUUAAAGUUCAAGGGAGUUGAGGAAUACACUGUCAAAGACCUCUCGCGACUUCGUGAUCAGUGGGCUACAUACGUUGCCAAGUUAAUUACAGCCUACAAUCGCGAGGUAACAUACAAGUAAUUUAUGAUUAUUUUUCCUUAAAACAAAUCUGUGAUUUAUUUUUUGUGGUGUGCUAAUUGAUUUUAUAUACUUGUAGGUGGAAAAAAAAUGAAGGCAUAUGCGGACUCCAAAAUCAGUGACAUUGUUAUUUGUUUUUUCUUCUUGGCUAAAUUCUCCGAAAUUAAUUUAGUACUUUAUCGUGUAUACUACUUGUUCAAAGCUUAAUUUUGUACUUGAACAUGUUUUUUACCCCCAAACAAUGAUGUAUUUGAACUAUUUUAAUUUAACUAAUGUAUUUGAAAUGUGUAUUAUGUGAAUUGCAUUACAAGAUUUGGUAUGUUUAAUAUAUUUUGGGUUUAUUUUAAUUGUAAAAUAAACAUGAAUAAUGUCAUUAAAAAAAAUAAAACACAACCGGUAUAGCACCGUUAAUACUGACACUAAUUAUUUAAAUGACGAUAAGAAUUUUUUAUGUUACUGAGUCAGUGGAUUCCUGAUACUGUAGUCACAUAAAUCAGUGACAUGUAAAUAGUAUCAUUAAAUGCUAACGCGAUUGAGUCACUAUCCUUGUGACUCUCUAGUGACACAAAAUACUGACAUAAAAAUAGUAUCAACUGAUACUAACAUCAUAGUAUCACUAUGGUGGUGAUACUAUAGUGACACAAAAUACUGACGCAAAAAUCACUGACACCAAAGAUUAGUGUCAGUGUGUUCUGGCUUGAGCAUUACUGACACAAUUAACAAGUGUCAGCAAAAGUAAUUACUGACACUAAAUUGGUGUCAGUAAAGCCCAUUUUUCUAGUAGUGAAUAUUUAUCUUCUUGCUUUCCUUAUAACUUUCAAGGAAUAAUUCGCUGAAUUGUGAGUAUAUAGUUUUAUGGAUGGAAAAUUAAGAUGAAUAUCCAACUUCAAUUUAAAAAUUUUUUUUAUAUACUGCUGAGCUGGUUUCAUAACUGAUGAAAAUUUUGCUUUAUUAGGCAAGAAAAGUUUAAGAUUUUACAGUUAAUAUAUAUAGUAUUUUCUAUUAUGUAUGUACAUGUUCUCCCCAGCCGUGUGUUCUCAAAGAAUUGGCAAAAAAACUAAAAUGCAUUUUGAUUCAGAAACUACUGUUUGUGCAAUUAGAUGCUGCAAUGUAUGUCAUUUAUAUAUGGACAUGUCUUUCUUUUAAAUAAAAUGAUUCAUGGCAUGGCAAUAUUGGCAGAGUAGUUUAUGUACGUCCAUUUUGAUGCCAUUGAAACUUUAUUGAGCUACAAAGCAAGAAGUGCACCAUUUUUAGGCAUUAUGUAAGUUCAUCAUGAUUGCUUCUGACUCCCCCUUCAACUUUAAUGAGUCAUGUAGAUUAUAAAAAAUGAAGUUUUACCACUAACUAAAGGGAAAAGAAAAACGUUGGGCACGUAUGCUGCCGAAAAAUGUGUAGAAAUGGAAAAUCUAUUUGCCUACCUGCAAGGGUAAUAAUUGAUUCAGGGGGGCUUAUUUACAAAAUAAUAUGUUUUCAAUGAUUGGCAUGUGUGCAAUUAUAAUUGGGGUGCUAUUUCUAAAAAGCAGGACUGGAAAUAUCAGUAAACCAAAAAAAAAAAAAGUUCAAACCAGAACCACACUAAAAGUGAAAGUGUUUUUUGGCCAAACUUUGUGCAAAACAAUACGCAAUUGGCCCCUAUUGUAGUUUUCUGGUGACUAAGGGUGAGAAAUUAAAGAACAAUAGCUCCCCAUUUGUAAUAUCCAAAAUUUCAUUUGUUUGUGAAAAAAAAAAAAACAACUUAAAUUCCGAUCGACUUAAUUAGGUUUGAAGAAUUCAGCAUUGAUAAAUGAUAAUGUUGGAUUUAGUCCAUGCCAUGCGAAUGUCGACAGUAUGUGGCGUGUGGAUUCCACAUACUCGAAAGUCGAAACCUUUCAUUUCAACCUGGUAGACUUUUAUCCUUUUUUCUUUAUUUUGAAUUAUUAUCUUGUCAGUUUAUAGAUAAUUAAUUAAUUGAUUGAAGCACAAGUAGUGUUAAAAUAAUUAAUUACGUGAUGAAUGACAUUUUGAAAAUGAUAUGUUUUUGCCAUUUUUUUUUUAGAAUGUUAUGCUGUUAAUUUUUUUCGUAUUUGUUUUAAAAAAUGAAAAUUGAUGUUUAUUUGUGAUUUCAAAUCUCGCCUCUGAUAAAGUAUUUUAAAAAUUGUAAUCUUAAUAAAUAAAUACCAAACUGGCUUUUGAUUCCCGGAUCUUUUAUUUUAAGUUAAGAGAAUUAAUAAUUGAACUGAUUUGAAAUUUUGAACGCACAAUCUAAAGAAGUUUUCAAUAAAGAAAUAUGUUUAAUAUAAUAUUUGAAGAAAGAAAAUGUUACGCAACAAGUACAAAAUCGUAAAAGCAACAUUAAUUUGUGCUGCUUAAGCUUUCAACUUUUCUUCAAGAAAGUAAAAAGUAAAAAGUAAAAACUCCAUUUCUGUCACUUUCCAUAAAUCCUUCAACAACUUACCGAAUUUUAUUCUGGCCUUAUUCUAUCUUUCCUUUUUUUUUCCUAUUUAGAUGGAAAAUGGUGUUUAGUUUAGUGAUGAGGACAAUAUCUAAUAUCUGCCAAAAAUAGAAAAAUUAUCCCAAAACUACUUUGAAAGAACUUUGGGAUAAUUAAUUAAAUGUAAUUGAUCAAUUUUCACAUCUUAAACUUUAAACCCAUAAAAAGUCAGACUCAUAUAUAAGUGAGUUUAGACUAUCUUUUUAUGUGAUAAGAACUAAAAGAAAAUGUUCGACUUACACGUGACAAUGAGUGAUGGGAAUCGAAGCAUAUCUCACAACUUUUCUAUAGCUAAUAAAACUAUAGCGUUUUUUCAUGCUCUUGUAGGUGGAGACUCAUAAAUAUUUUGAAUUCACUUGUACGAACAAAUUUGAAUUACCUUUGCAUUUCCAAAAUGAAUACUCCUAAUUGAAAAAAAGCGAAAAAGAAAAAAAAACAUAAAAAUUAUAUGUUCUUACUAAAACUUCAAAAAUUUCUUGGGAAUAGUUAAAUAAUCAAAUACAUUUGAGGCAUCAAACAACAAACUUCGACCAUAAUCGGAUUGAUUUUGCAAUUAAACACAACGGAUUUUGUUUCUAUAUAUCACCGAAAGUUUAAAGACUUAACAUAUUAUACGAGUAUUGUAAUUCAAUUAGUUAUUCUCCCACAAAAUGCAUGUCCUACGUACAUCAAGAUUUUUUUUUUUCCUUGGUCCUGCCCUUGAAUUUUGUACUGAGCUUAAAAAUGGUUCUUAAUUUUUCCUUUUGUUUCGAAACUCUCACCUCCUGCUCUUAUUAUUAUUAUUCAGCCUUCUGGUACGUAACUGAGACCAAAAAUGUCUGUGGUCUCAUUAUUUGCAGUUUAAUUAUAUUUAAAAUGAGACGAUUUAAUAACGCGUUUUCAUGAAGUGUAUAUAAUAUAAUAUGAAUAUGAUUACGACAUUACCUGAAAUUUAAGGAACUGAUAAGUACAUAACCUGUUUAAAUAAUAUUGUAUGGAAGAUUUCCGAUUAUAAUUUAAAAUAGAUGUUUCUUUCAAUCUUUGUCUAUAAUUCAUUGUUCAUAUGACCCUACGUCAAGAAAAUAAAAUACAGAAUAUCUAAUAUCUGAUAUCUCUAUCCAUAGGCAAAUAAUUUCAGGAUUUUCUGGUUAACUUGUUAUACAAAGCGUUGAGAUGUGAGUAAAUUACAUUUGGCCAUUAUGUCACCAAAAUAUGUCUUUUUUCUUUUUGGCUUAGAUUAAAAUUAUUGUGCUAAUAUUCCUAAAUGAUCUUAAAACUAAAAGUUUGUCGAAUGACAAGAUCUUAGUUAGUUGUUUGUUUGUCAAUAAAUUAGUUAACCUAUUUUGUAAUCUGAUGACUAAGCUGUAUAUUUUUUGCUCACUCAAAUACAGGCAAAUCUUCAAUGCUUGGAAACUCUUAUUAAUAAAGAAAUGCAAAUAGCUCUUCUCAAAUUAAAUAAAGACCAAUUACCCAACAAUGCUUACUAUUUUCUUAUGUAACGUGAUUGUGCUAAUAAAGUUAGGUGGGGAGAAGAUAUCUUUACACCUAUCUGGAAGCAUGCGCCUGUUUGGAGGGUAAGAAAAUGAUAGAAAUUAAAUGCCAAAGAAAUAGAUGAUGCAAAGAAAGAGGAUAUAUUGUUGAUAAUUGUAUGAGUUGACUAGCCCAUUUUACACGUGGAAAGUGGCUUCGGUUGGUGCAUGCAUGAGAUUUGUUUGAUUUUAGAUGAUGAUUUCAAUCAUUCGGUUUGAAUUUAAAAUUUUUAAUAAGUUAGAAAUAACGAUGCGGCACGGUAUAUGCGUGGAAUAUAUCUCCCUUUGGACUUUUACUUUUUCAUGAUUUAAAUUAAUCAAUCUUGCGAUUUAUUUAUAUCUUUAUGUGAGCCAAGUGUACAAGGUACUUAUAUUUUAAGAAUUUUAAAAAGGUCGGUGAAAAACAGAUUUUUAAAUUUUAAUUUUGAUAAUAAAUUUAAUCCUUAAUGCAAUUCUACCUAAGUAGUUUUGUCUGAUUUACUUUUAAAUUCCAACAAGAACAGACAAGUCUAAUUACCUACUUCAAGUGAAAAGUGCGUUGAGUGAAUUUCAACAUAAAUAAGGAUGGUUUGAAUAAUUUUUAAAAACUCAUAAGCUAAUUGCAUAAUUAGCCGAAACCUAAAAGAAUAAAAAGAGUGUUUACCCAAAAAAAGCUAAUAAUUAUUGGACUAAACUAAAAGCUCUUAAUGCUUUCCAAUCGUCAACGUUCUCCGAAUUUGCCAGUCCACGAUUAUGCAUUCUCAUUAAUUUCAAUCUUGCUAAUGAACGUGAGAAAUCAGCUUGAUAUUCAUUUUACUAUUCCAUUAUUUUAAUUAAAUUUGAUUAGAAAAGAUUUGCAUUAUAAUGAAGAUUUGGUGAUUGAAAUUCUUUGUAAAAUCUCUUUGGCGAUUUGAGUUUGUUUGUAAAUCUUGGUAUUGUUUAAUGUACAGGAAACCUAAGUUUCAUUACAAAACACCUAAAAAAGGUCAAAAUCCGUCUAAUUUUUCAUUUAGAUAAUUGAAAAUGGUGAUUCAUAUGAUUAUCCUAGAAAUUUGUUUUUUAUGUUUCCUGAUGAUACAUUGAUAGACUUAUCAUUGCAAUAUCUUGAUGAGUAUCUCCCCAGGCUUGUCGCUGGAGUCCAUCUUCUCUAUUAGUAUAUUUGGAGUUUAAUGUCACCGGGUAAGUGUUUUGCGCAACGAACCCAUACGGUACUUAGACAACUCUUGCCGAAGGUUGCUAAGUAAGCAUUUGAGCUUUUCAACUAGCUAAGCUUAGAGGUUUUCGAAGAGUUAGAGAUAAGAGAGCAAUGGAGCCGAAAGAGUGAAAUUGUAUUACUCACAAGAGAGAUUACAAGAGAGCUUACAAGAAUGCUUGAAUUGCUUACUCUAAGCUUGUAACUCAAAUGCCUAAUGACAUGCCCUAUUUAUACGGGAGGCUUGCCAAGCUCUACAAUUCUAGAGAAUUAUACCAAGUCGCUUAGAAUUCUAGAUAUUUACAUAAGUUAGAUAUGUGUAGAGAAUUCUAGAUAUGUACAAGCUUGAGUGUGCUAAAGUUGUCUAGAAAUUUCUGGAAUCGGGUCAAUCUAGCACUCUUGACCUUCUCUUGGGCUCUUGGCCUGGAAUUGUGGACAAUUGGGCUAGCAACUUGAGCAGUUCGCAACAUUAAGAUCACUUUCUUAACGAAAUCUCUUAUAUGGGCUCCAGUUUCUUCAAAAGGUUAUUGUCUUAGAAUAAAAUAUAGUAGUGGCUGCAUGUAUUCAAUGGCGGUUGUGCACGUUUCCAUUUUAGUUGUUCAUGUUCCUAUUUUCAAGCAAUUUUCCUCUUUUGUAGUUUUCAAUCUCUUGGUAUGUGUACAAGUCUAUUUAAGAGGCCUUAUUGAACUUGUACCGGGGAGAAUAAACAUUGUCUUUUUCCUUCUAAUCAAUUCAUAUUCCUUCUCUGUUUCUCUGGCUUCCCUUUCUGAACUGAAAAUUACUUAUCAAUCUCACAACUAUAGAUUACGGAAUUCUCCCACGUUAUAGAGCUACAGGUCCACCGAAAACGAACAUUUCUGCACUCGUGUUGGAUUUGAUUGAAUCCCAGACGCAAUGACUACAAGUUGGUUUCGAUUAACUCAUUUCGCUACAAAAGCACAAAUGAUGCGUGCUUGCAUUUGCAUGAAUUCUCACUUUGUACAGUAUAUAAAACCUAAGUACUAACUCUUGGAGGGAAUUAAUAUGCUUCGAAUCAAAUCAUUUUGAUAACUCUUUUAAUUCGCCGUGCAAAAGCUUGGAUGGACUUUUUACUGUUCAUCGAAUUUGAGUGAUAAUAGUAACUACGUGCCUAAUGAUUAUUUCAUUUGACAUGGCAAUGAGGUGUUCCAAGAGAUUUAGUGCCCAUUCAGUAUUGUUGGAUCACCUUUUGUGAUGAUCAAAAGGUGAUAUUAUAUGAACCGCACUUGGGCUUAGGAGGAAUGAUGUUUUUUUUUUCUUUUUUUUUUGUGUAAAAUCAGGCUCUCCAAGUGAACAGCUGCUGUUGUAUGAUCCUGAUAAGUGGUACCCAGGAAUUGAGAGAUCUUGGACUAAGAAAUUUUUCUUUUUCGGUUUAUAAAUUUAAAGAGAGUCUAAUUCCUGUCAAGGGAGAAGAUCGAUGUAUCAAAUAGACAGAUGAGGAUUCUGACAUGAUAUGAGAAAAUUAUAUCUGCUCUCCGAUGAUAAUAGGCGUGCUUUGCUCUUCAUGACGUCAAGCUUUCGAUGAAAUGAAUCAAAUAGUAACCUAUUUGGCAUCGUUAAUCCUUGAAUUUGUAUCAAAUUUUAGUGAAUUUCAAUUUAUCAAUAGUUGUUUUGUAAGUUGAUCGAACACAUCCGUUGUUUAGAUUUGAUAUUAACGAACAUGAAGUCGAAAGCUACGCUUAAUUAACAAUUUAUAUUUGCCUUUCUUUUUAACGUUACCCAUCGUGCAGCUGAAAACUCUUUGCAAGCCGGUUUGCCAAAUGGAAUAAGUUACCCGAAAACCGAAUACGAGAAGGCAAUAAAAGUUUAUAAUGUUAACCCGAACUAAUGUGACGAUUUUCUUUAGAAGUCACAUCAAGUUAAACGUACUUUAACAUACACGAAUAACAUAUUAACUUGAUGUGGCAGAUUCAGGGUUCCUCACAUUGCUAAAUUAAAAAUGGUUAUAAGGAUCUUUUAAAAGAAGUAAUUAAUUACAUGCGUGGAUACCCGAACGAAGCAAGAAAUUUCAAUCAAUGGCAACAACACAAAAUUGAGGGGAAGAGAUGCAAAUGUGAAACGAUCAAGUUAUCCGGCCCAAUUAAGGCACUGUCUCCUCUGACGAAGUAAAAAAUAAUCUGAUUUUGGUGCCAUUAAGAAUAUUGUAAAACUAGUUUUAGGAGGUGGCAAUUUGGGUUAGGAUUCAUUUAUUUAAUUUGAUUUGAUGCAAACUAAAUCGGUUUAGAUUUGAAAAUUUUGAUUCGUUUAAUAAGUAGGUGAAUUCGAUUCGAUUCGCUAAUUAAACGGGUCUAAUCCGGGUUUGAGGACAUUAAUUCGUUAACUCGUUUAGUAAAUGAGUUAUAAACGAAUCGAAUAUGAUCAAUCGUUUAAGUUCAUUUAAUUAAACUAUUUAUCUAUACUUAAAUAUGCAUGAAAAAACUUUAAAGUCUAAAGGCUAAUAUAGUAAUUAUAAAUGAUAAUAAGUUUGUAUUGUAGGAUGUUAAAUUUAUGGUCUUUUCAUAUUUUAUUUUACUUAAUUUUUGUUUAUUAAUUAUAUUUUUGUAAAUAAAUUCAUAUUCAAUUCAAUUCCUUAUAGGAUAAAACGAAUUGUAAACGAAUCUAGAUUCGAUUUGAUUCGUUUAUUAAUUUUGAAUUAAACAAAUCGAACCAAAUAUUCAUUUAAUAAAUGAAUCGAAUCCGAAUACUAAGAUUUCAAUUCGUUUAAUAAAUGAAUCGAAUCUGAAUUAGCAGAAUUUUGACCCAAUUUAUUUACAAUUCGAUUUGAAUACAAUUUGUUUAUUCAUUUUGCCAACCCUAACUAGUUUAUUGUGUUUUCAAUUAAAUAUUACAUAAACUACACACUAUCAACGUUAUAUUGUACUUAUAAUUUUUUUUAUUUUACAUUAGCUCGCUAUAUUGGUUUUGAAUGUAAAAUGAUAAAAUGCUUUGACAUACAAAUAUGGUUGGAAAAGUAUCAUAAUAAAUUACUAUUUUAAAGCAUAAUUUUGAAUGGAUCUACUUUGUGUAGGUGAAAAGUAAUAAGAUGUAUUUUUAUACUCAAAACGAAGAUAGGGUGAAUGAUAACACACAAAUUACACCAUUAAUUGCAUUGAGUAAGAGUUGGAGUUACAAAAAAUUGUAGUAGCGUUAAAUUUAAAAUUAAUUACAAAAUCAAUUCCAGAAUAUAUCACUUGUAACUGCCAUUAAUUUGGAAUUUAUAAUAGCCAAUUAAAUUUAAAUUUUAAUAUGAGAUUAAAUCCCGAAUUUAAUAUGUGGUUAAUGAAACCGCGGUUACAUUUUAAAUUUAAUUUAAGAAUUAAAUAAAAGGUUUAACGAGCAACAAUUAUACUUUUAAUUAGCUACGGUACUUAAUAAGGAAUUAAAUACAUCAAUUACAAAUUUAAGUAGUCAAAUUUGUGGAUAAAAAUGCCUCUCAUAGAAUUCUAUGUUUUGACGUUCUUCUUCAUUUCAAGAAAGUGGCUAGGAACAAUAUAAGAGAAAUUACGAUAGAAGAAUAAGAAGAGAAGAACUUCAAUACCUCUAUCAUAUAUCCAAUUUUCAUAAAGUUUAGACACUGUACAAUAACCUCUUGGUGCGCCAGAAUUAUUCAUUACCAUUGUCUGCAGGAAAAUAGGCGUUGUUUAAAUCCUAAAGCACUUGAUACCAAGAGGCGAAUCCGUUUUAAUGAAGCUAUAUUAUGCAGGCAGGGAUGGUAAAUUAUGGGCUUGGGUCAGACUUUUUCAAGCUCAGGCCUAAGUCCAUGUUAUUAGUAAUAGGUCAACACCCUCUAAAAGUCUAUACAAACUUGGACGGUCCAAGCUUGCUUCAAUUAAUUUUUUAAAUAAAUUUUUAAUAAAGUUAAAAGUUAACAAUAUUUAAAUUAAUAAUUAUUAUCCAAUACAUAAUACAUAAUAGAUAAAUAGUUAAAUACAUAAAAUACAUAAAAUACUAGCAACACAAUAUAAUAAACCACAAAUAAUAUUUAUAAAUUAUAUAUUAUAUGUUUUCAAUUUAUAAAUUAUAAAGCCCAUACGUUAUCUAUAAACAAUUAACUAAGCCCAAUCACAGUAGGCUUUAAAUUUUUUUGCCCAAAUCCUUGGCGUCACGAAGCAACCAGAGCCUAAAGCCCACAGGCCUAGGUUAGGCCGACCCUAACUUUUUUGUCCACCCUACAUUAAGGCCUUGAUUGCAUCCUAUUUUUAUGUCAUAUUUUAUGUUGUUAUCUCAUUGUUGUAAUCACUAUUUUAAUUGGUAUAUCAUUGUUUUAAUUGUAAUCAUUGUUAUUUGUAAACUCCCAAUUUAUGAUUUGUAAUUUCAGAAUACAUUCCUCCUAUUGCAUUGUAUUUCCCUUAUGAAUACUUGGAAAAAGAUAGGAGCUAUUGGACCAAAAAAAAUAACACCAAAUCCGAAUUUUGUUACUAAGAUAUAAAAAUUCUCAGUUUCCUAUAGUUACAAAACCACAAUAUAUAAGUAAAAAUUUCAAGUCCCCAAAUGUCAAAAAUUGGUAAAAAUGCGAGGAUCAUCAUUACCAAGUACGCUAUGACUUUAUUUUCAUUAGUUUGCCGAAAGCUUUGAAACAAUUUAUUUUUUUGCCAAAAUAUGAAUCCGACGGCAUGAAACAGAGCACCCUUAUCAUAUUUUCUCAGAAGAGAAUCUUGGCCUGUUUGUUCGAUACAUCAUCUUCUUCCUUAAUUGAUAUUCGACUGAACAGACUCUCUUCAAAUUUAUAAACUGACAAGUGAAAACUUCUUAGUCCAAUUCUCCAAGAUCUCUCAUUUUUCCCGGGGAGUGGAAUUGAAGAGUCGGAUUCUGAAAAAAAUCCAAUUGGCAAAUAUUUGAUAUUAACGAAUAAAAAUUCGCCCCAAAUCCUCUCUUUCAUUACCUAUAUUUCAACAUUAGCAUUAAUGGUAUUAAAAAAUAAUAAAGAUAGAUUGUCAUCGUAUAUGUCAAGUGACACAGAAAAUAAAAAUAGAAGGAUAUUGAUAAAACAACAAUAUAAAAUGAACAAUGUUGAAUAAUAUAAAUGACAUUUGGAACAAAAAUCAUAAAUGACAUUUGCGGUUUUGAUCUUGGUAUGGGCUUAAGUCCACCCAAAUUGCUAAUCUAAGGAUGCAAUUCCUUAUAAGCUGAUCAUUUACAUCCUUCCAAGCACUGUGAGAUAUUACAUAUCCUAAUUUCGUACAAAAAACAUUGGAUUGUGUGUUUCUAUUUAUAAGUGUGCAGGUUUUGUGUUUUCUGUGAUUUCUUGAAUAAGUAUGUAAUAAGACUGCAAUAAAAGAUUUUCCCAAUUUUACUUCUCAAUAUGUUCAUUAAUUGGAUCAAAUGAAAUCAUGCAUGAACUCUUAUGAUAACAUUUUUUGACCUACAUUUCUCAUUAUUGGUUUUGGCAGUCUCUUCUUUUAGCGAACACUGGCAACAAAACAAGAAAAUUAAAAAAAAGGGGGAAACUGUUAAAUUCAUAAUCGCCUAUUUGGUUAAUUUGAUGUAUUUACGUAACUUAUAUUACAGUAGUUUCUAAAUUAACCAGCCUAUCUGGUUAAAUUAAAAAAAAAUAAUGUACUUAGAUAAUUAAUAAUAUAUGUAAAAUUACUAAUAUAACCUUUUCCUAGUGCGGUUCUGGUACGCGUUUCCUACUACAGUUUUAAUUUCAUUUACGAAACUAGUUUCCUAUUCAAUUAGGGUAAUUGUUAUUACAUAUAUAUAUAUAAUGGGAAUAGGAAACUAUUCCCUAAUUCAGUACGGCAAGUUAUUGUCACAUUAUAAAUAUCCGUACAGAAAAAAAUUUGGUUCCAUAUAUCGCACUGAAAAAAAAUGGAGCAAUACGAAAAGAUCAGGGAGCUUGGGUCGGGGAGUUACGGCGACGUGUUUCAGGCUCUUGAUAAAAAGAGUGGUGAAUUUGUUGCUGUCAAGAAAUUGAAGAAGAAGAUUUUUUCUUUGGACGAGAGCAGGAACUUGAAAGAAGUUAAAUGUUUAAGGAAGAUGAAUAAUCAUCCCAACAUUGUCAAAUUGAGGAAUCUUGUCAAAGAACACGAAGACGUAUUCAUUGUGUUCGAGUACAUGGAAUCUGAUCUUCUAAAACUUAUGAAAGAAAGAGCGGGUCAAAAUUUCUCUGAAGAUGAAGUCAGAAACUUGUGUUUCCAAGUGUUUCAAGGUCUCCAUUACAUGCACCGAGAGGGUUAUUUUCACCGUGACCUAAAGCCUUCCAACUUGCUUGUUUCGAAAGGUGUGAUCAAGAUAGGGGAUCUUGGAAUGGUGAAGGAAAUCGAUUCUAAUCUGCCGUGCACUGAUUAUGUUACAACUCGCUGGUAUCGAGCUCCUGAAGUGUUGCUUUUAUCCGAGAUAUAUGGACCUGAAGUUGAUAUGUGGGCGAUGGGUGCUAUUAUGUUCGAGAUGUUGAGUUUCAGGAUUCUUUUUCCGGGAAAAAAUUCGGCUGAUCAAAUUUACAAAAUCUGCCAAGUGAUUGGAAGCCCCACCGAGGACUCUUGGCCUCUUGGAAUUCAACUCGCGAGCAAUCUCAACUGGAAGUUCCCGCAGAUGAGUGGUGUGAAUAUGCGUGAGUUGUUACCAUCAGCUAGUCGAGAAUCCAUCAGCUUGAUUUCAUGGCUUUGUUCCUGGAAUCCACACAUGAGGCCUACGGCUGCGGAAGCUUUGGAACAUCCUUUCUUCCGGAGUUGUCAUUUUGUUCCUCGAUCGGUGCCUCUUCUUUGCAAUAAUUUUGAAGCCGUUGCGUUCCCUACUGCCACAGUCACAAUGCAAGGACGUUCUUUGACAUAUUCUGAGGUACCGAAUGAUGGGCAAUUAUGUUCGUGCUUCAAAUGUGAGAUGCAAAGGACUAACAACGAUCACAUGAUCAUCAACUCUGCCAAACCGGCAACCUCCAUGAUUUAUAAAACUGGUUACGCGACUACAACUGAGAUUUUGGCUUCCCGCAUGCAACCGUUGCAGCAGCUGAUGAUGUCGAGGCCUCCCGGAUUUUGAAGAAAACGUUAAGGCUGGUUAUUGUAUUUGUACUUAGAAACCUAACCACGCACGUACUAAUUGUACAUUCAAAGAUUAUUCAAUGCAUUGAUAUUCAUCUCCUCAGGAGUGGGAAUCCUGAAGAGUGGGAAUCCUGAAGAGUGGGAAUCCUGAGAUUAGGAGUGUGGAAUGGGAGUGGGAGUAGGGUGUUUACUUAGACUAAAUGAAAAUAUGGAUUGUCAAUCAGAAUCCUAAUUAUUUGUUUACUUUGUCUUGGAUUGGGAGUAAAUUAUUUUAAAUUACAAUUUUAUCCUUAUGUAUAAAAUUAUAAUUUGUAAGUAAAAAAUAUAUUUGGAAAAUAAAAUAAAUAUUUUAUUAUAUUUAUAAAUUAAUAAUAAUUACUAAUAUUCUUAAAUAUGUAAAUCAUAAUUUUUUAUUAAUUUUAAUUUAAAUUAUGUGAAUAAAAAUUAUUAAUAAUAGCAACACAAAUGAAAUAUUAUUAUUGAUAAUAUAGUACAAAAUUAAUAUUUUUAAGAAUAAAAUAUUUAUUAUUAUUAAUUAAAUAAUUAAUUAAUAUUUAUUAAAAUUAAUGUUUAAUAUUAUUAAUUUAAAUAUAAUAUUUAUUUAUUUUUAUUUUAUUAAAUUUAAUAAAAUAAAUAUGAUGUAAUUAUUUAUUUUAUUAAAUAUGAUAUUAUUUAUUUAUUUAUUUUUAUAAGGAUAAAAUGGGAAGAGGGGGGAGUGGAUUCCCACUCUCACCUCCCCCCAUGGGAGUGGGAAUCCCACUCCCCACUCCAAAAUUGGGUGGGACCCACGGAUUCCCACUCCCACUCCCCCCUUUUUUAAGGUAAGUAAACACUGGAGUGGGAGGAAUCCACACUCCACACUCCUACUCCAGAAAGUAAACACUACCUGAAUUCAGUGAAUAUAAGUCCAUGACCAUUUUUUUUUAAUAAGUUAUGGUCAAAUGUGAGAUGCAAAGGACUAAUAAUGAUGCAAAUGAAAAUUAAGAACACCAAAAAUCUAGAAGAAGAGGUUUCUGAAUUGAAUGGGGAGGUAGAUUCCAUAGUGGAAAAAUGAUAACUAAGACUAUCAUUAAUUAUAAGUAUCCAGCACUUUGUUACCUUCACGAUAAAUAUGUGAUACAUUAUUCUAUUAAACGAAGCAAGUAAAGGCAAUUAAACCAACAAGUGUGGAGUUGCCAUGGAAGAGAGUAGCCAAAAUUCAGAAGACAUUGAGUCAUAGACAUGGCGUCACAUUCAAUCCGAAGUUUAUGCCAACCCCUUAACCAUGCUUGUCCAAUAGCAAGAAUAACUACCAUAAAUUCAGAAUAAAAAUAGGAUUCAUGACCAAUGAACGUAGAACUGCCAAGGAAGGUUCCAUGAUGAUCUCUAGAAAUUCCCCCACAAGCAGAUAACCUAGGAUUAUUCUUACUGUUGACCUUUAUCAAAGUUGGAGGGGGCGCCAUAUCACUGUAGCUAUUUUCGAAGCUUUUCCAAAGCUUGGAUCAUUACCCAACCGGGCAAAAAUUGCCAGAUCAUGAAAGUGUGCAACAGUACUCCCUAGGCAAGAUUGACAGAGUAAAUAUUAAAUUUUUACAGUAAGCCAUGGCAUUAUGAAAAGGGAGAGAUACAUCUUGAAAUCAAAUAUAUUCAUUUUUCGUUUUUAAAUUAUAGCUUAAUGGAAACCCAGAUAGCACCACGUGAGUGGAUUCAAACCCCAAAUCUAUUAUUUCAAAUCAAAAGAUUAAAAUUCACCAAUUGAUCAACUAUAUAUCUAGCGCCUAACUAUGACCAACCUCAAUCAACGGACGUCCAUCAACUAGAUUAAUUCUCAAAAACCUGAUACUUUCUGUGUGUGGAAGAAACAAAGUCCUCAAAGAAGAUAACUUCACAAUAUAUACAACUCCUUGCUAACUCAAAUUUAAGCCAACGCCAUGUUUGAUGAAAAUUUAUGAUUGCGGGUUGUGAUUCCAUUUAUGCCAUAAGAAAAUCAAAAGGGUAUGUUUCGAAUUAUGAUUGCGAAAUUCCAAUUUGCAUUGUUGUUUUGCAACAAGCGCGAUACGAGCUGCAUAUGUCAUUUUUAAUAUAGUAAAAUAAAUCUCUACAAUAAUUUGACAACUAAUAAUGGAGGGCAACUAACUGUUAUCAAAGUAAAACGUAAUAAAUCCUAAAUCAAGGUUAAUAUAUACCACAUCAAAAAUAUUUUAUUAAUUAUUUAAUUAUUUAAUAAAUUAAUAAUUUAAUUACAUAUUAAUAUUUACUAAAUUAAUAAAAUUUUUACGGUGCCAAUACUAUGUAAAUAAAUCUAAAAUGCUUAUUAAUUAAUUGAUGGGUUCAAGAUGAAGUUUUCUGUUGUGGGAUUUUUAAGUGUUGUCAAUUUGUAAGCGUUCAGGUUUCGUGGGACUCGUAAUAGGAGCAAUGAAAUAUGUUACAAAUUUCACGUCUCAAUGUAUGUAUUCAUGAAGCGUGAUUUAAUGAAAUCGAGCUUGAAUUCUCAUCAUAACAUUUUGUUUUUUAGCUACAUUCCUCUUUGUUACAACUUACAAUUGGUUUUAGUCUCUCUGUCUUGUUUUACUAACCAACAGAGAAAGAAAAAGUAAAAAGCAUUAACCGGGGGAAUUGUUAGAUUUCUCAUGGCCUAAUUUGGUCAAAUAUUGAAAUUCGAUGUAUUUACUUAACUUGCAUUACAUUUGUUAGUAAUUAAUUAAUCAACCUGUCUAUCAAAAUAAAAACUAAAACAAUUGAUGUAUUUAGAUAUUAAUCGUACAGUGUAAGUCACUAAUAAACCUUUUCCUAGUGUAGUUCUGAAAGGAAUUUUAUAAAUUCAUUUAGGGAACUAGCUAGUUCCUAUUCAAUUAAAGUAUUAUUAUUACAUGUAAUGUGAAUAGGAAACUGUUCCAUUGUUUGGGUGAUAAAAUAAGGCGAUCAGAAUCGGGAUUUUCUUAAAGCUUGACUCUGUUCACCUCGCCAUCCCAAGCAGCCUAGAGAAAGCUGGCAAGUAGGGUUAGGCAAGAAACCGAUUGAAUUAGGAUGAAACCCGGUCAAAACCACCUUCCCGUCUCAUCCGAAAAUGCAGGGAUUAGGUUUAUCAGCAAAGCUCCUAAUUCCAUGAUCCUAGGGAGCGAAAGAGAUAUGAUCGAUCUAGUCCUAUGUAUAAAUUGGUUUUUAUAUAUAUGGACCGAGAGAGAGAGAGAGAUAUUCGAAUAAAUUCAUAUCGAACAUCAAUUCCUUUCUUUAAUUAGAACAUAGCACUUCUCUUGUCCUUUAUGGCAUCUCUCUCACUAAAGUCAAAAGUGUUGGCUUUAUUGAUUCCAAUUUAAUGAGAUGCAUGCUUUAAGCAUUAUUAUUGAAAUCGUUUAAAAUUACGAAAAAGAAAGUCCAGAACAAUGAUUAUACUUGCCGUUAGAGAAAUCGUUUGACACAAUAGUACGAGAAGUACGGAAGCAAGCCCCUGUGAAUUUUAGGUGGACCUCAUGCCUUGUACCAGGCAAGAAGCAAUAACAAAGGACAAAUAUACAAAAUUGGGAUCUAAAUAAUGACAUAUGUAUAUUAAUAUAUACAAUAAAAUUAAUUGAAGUAAAUGAUUUGUUUAUUAGCCCUUUUGCCAUUUUUUUGUCCUUAAUUUGUACACAUACAAUCUAAUUUAGCACAACUAAAUUGUCUAGUAAUACAGUGUGAGUCCACUCAUAUAAAAGUUAGGAAAUUCAUUAAAAGAAAAUCUAAAACUGAAGAUUGCCAAGGCUUAGUGAUCAUAAUAGUAGCCCAAAAAUUUGAUUAACCAUGUCUUGAAUAUUCUCUUAAUUAAAUGAUACCUCUAUCAAAUGUGCACAUGCUUCAUUAUGAGGAUUUUCGUCAGCUUAUUUAAGACACCGUGCAUCGUAAUAAUAGGUCGUCAUAGUAGGUUUUACCACUUGAUAUCAUACAUACUAGAGCUUCUUGGGGAAAAAAAAAUCAACGGGUGCCUAUAGAUUUGUAAAUACUUAAAUCAAAAUAAAACUUCGAAAAAAAUAGAAACAACCACCACAAAUCUAAACCUAUAGAGAGAAAUUUGUCCUUAAAACAAAAGCAAAUUAGAAGAUAAAACUGCUAAUAAAAUAAAGAAUCAUUUGCUUUUCCGAUAAUGAGAGCCAAAGCUUCGUAAGAGGAAGCUGAGAAAGGAGGGAGAAGUUGAGAGUGAGGAAAUGAUCUGGUAGGCUUCGCACGAUUAAUAAGAAGAUUAUAUGAAUGAGAAGCUAUUAGAGAGUGACUGUUUGAAGUAAAGAUUUCUUAGAUUGAUAACUUAUACAAUACUUUCUUUAUAUAUACAACAGAGUGAUCCUUGAAAAGAAAAUUAAGAUCACAUGAAUUAAUUUGGAAUAUAAAAAAGGGACUAAUUGGGUAAUCUUUCAUUUGUAAUUUAUCUCUAUGAUUUCCUCAAUGAACUAGCCGUUUGAGGACUCUGUUGAUUUGUCUUGGUUGUCUUCUUUAAGAAUGAUUGAAAGCCCUCAGCUAAAGCAAUGCAAAAUGCCAUAUUUGAUUUACCAAGAUCGUUGCCAUGAGUGUUACUUUGAAUUCUGACGUUAUCAGCUAUUUGGCUUUUUUUUUUUUUAACAAAGAAAAUUAAAUUUCUUUGCACCCAAAUGCAUAAUUUAUGCUCUUUCAAUGUACCCUAAAUAAGUUAAAAAAACAAAAAGGAGAAAAACAAGGAAAAACUUAUAAAAGAAGCUAGUUGGCUUUGAAAAAAAAAAACAAGAGAAAGAGACGCCACACGUAUAUUUCUUGGAAUUCAUUCAACACCUGCAUUAUAAUUCGAUUGGUUAAAAGGUACUUAUGACUAGAAUUUAAAUUUGUUAAAUAUGUUUCAUUCUAAAGAAAUUCUAAUUUAAUUAAAGAUGAAUAAAUAAAUAAAUGAAAAGUGCUGAGCAAUCACAGACAGAAAAAGUAGGAGAAUAAUUUUGUUAAAAAUUUAAAAGAGAAAAAAUGUUAUUGAGAUUACAGCCUUAUUCAUAGUAGACUACAUAUUCAGACCAAUCAAUAAGGUGAAUCAACUCAAAGCCUACCAGCAUAACGAACACCAAACUGACCCAACCACCCCACCCGAAAAAAAAAAAAAAAACCACACACACACAUACAAAUACACAGACAUUAGACAUACAAUAGCUUCACCAUGGAAAAUUUGAGUACAUUCUUGUAUAAAAUCACAUCUCAGUUAAGGAAUUAACUGCCCUGCAGUUCUUCCUAAUCUCACCAUUAGUCCCAGUGAGUGGACUUAUAUUCCCCAUUUUUAUCAGAGAAUUAACAAAAUCAGCGAAGAAAAGAUUUGCGUUGCUGCUAUAGCUUUCAACAAGACUCUUAGUAGUUGAUUUGGCCUCAUCACUAGAGUAUAGAAUUUGAUCAGAACUUAGAAGGCCCUUAUUGUUGAUCAAGUUCUGGAAGUAAUGGUUGUCAAAUAGAUCAAUCGAGUUCCGAUCAAGCGGCGUCGUAUUGUUUCCGUCCCCGUUAGCACAUAGGCUCUGCAAUUCGGACACCAAGCUUGUGUCCAUUGUAGCGUCUGGAGCACCUGUUCCUGAGAAGUUGGAUAGUCUAUUGCUGAAGAAGGCACAGUUUGCGAAUCCAAUUGUAUGAGCACCUGCACAUAAACAUUAAAAUUACCAAGCUCGCACAUUAUGGGAGUUCAAAAAGGGGUCCUGGGAUUCCUAAUGCAAACUUUUGGGAUAUUUUUCAAACAUUGAGAAAAUUUCGGAUAGAUAAAUGAUAAUUUUCUUAUUUUAAUAAUUUUAAAUAAGUUAAACUAGUAGAGGAGCCAAAUUUAUAUAGAAUGUCAUUACUUUACGAUUUAAAGUGAUCCCGAACGAAGGCUAAUUAGUUAUGAGUUGAUACAAAUAUAUGGUGAUAGAGAGGUCAAAUAAAUUACCUGACAAGGACACUAGGUCUUUAAUAUUUAGACCCACGGCUGCAAACUUGGCAGUGAGAAUGUUUAGCCCCUCAAACGGUGAAGGAAGAGCAUUGGCACCUGUCUGGUUUGCCACCAGUCCAUCUCUUCUUCCCAGCAGAACUUUCCAUGUAGGUCCUCCACUCUGCAAAAUAUUGUCAUAGCAUUUGUAUAAGUAAAAGUUAACCUCAUAAAGUUCAAAUAUAAAGAGAAAAUUUUAAUUUUCUCAUACCAUUAGAAUAUGAAAAAAAAAAAUUCUUUAUCUAUUAAUUGGUAGAAUCCUGUGAACUAAGAUGACUUAGUCCCUGCUUGAUAAUUUAGUUCAACAGUUCUAUCUUUUAAGACACAAUACUAAAGUAUUUGGUAAACAAUUGUUCUAGUGACUUUAAAAUUAAGUUAAUUUUGUCUCAAAUUAUUAUGAUGAAAAUUUUAUAAUAUCUCUAUUGUUUUUGUCAAAAUUAUUAUUGAAAAUCAUAUUUACUAUACAUUAUCAACCUUUAUUCUAUAGUUGCUACUUUUUUCUAUAGUAGCUGUGGCUUAAAAAAUAUGAAAUCCCAAUAUCAAACAAGGUCUCAAGUUUCUCAUGUCUCUAUUUCUUUUAGUCCCAUGGAAUCUAUAUGAGAAGAACAAUUAAUCAACCAACUUACCAAGAGCACUGAAUCUCUUGCAGCUAUGGCUAAAAUAUCAGCACAUGAUACAACUCCACUGCAUUGACCUUCCACGGCAGUUUUUAUUGCGUCAAUAACUUCAAAUCCUCGUGCUGAGUUCCGGUUAGGCGCGGCAAACUUCUCACUGUCACUUCCAUCCAAUAACACUAAUGCAUCACAACCCUAUAACAAAGAAGGAGAUCAAGUUUAUAAUAAUUAUAAUUACCAAAUGAUGAAUAAUUUAGGGAAAAAAUGAUAGUAAAAUUAAAGAUACAUAAAUUUUAUUUAUUCAUAAACUAGUGUACAGUGUACUAUACUUUUAGCCAUGCAAUGCAAGAUUAAAGCUGCUUGAACUGAGAAUAUAUAAGUACUUAGAUCCAAAAAAGAAUAAAAAUGAAACUAUAAUAUGUUAGUCUUGACUCAUGAAUUAAACUAAAAAAUCAUUUUUGAGUUUGGUAUAUCAUUCAUUCUUUUUCACAAGUAUUCUUUAGAUAUGUCACGUGAAUUAAAUCCAAACAACUCAUACAAUUAUGUGCAAAUUAUAUUUAAUUUGUAUUCGAAAAUAUUCGAGCAGGAGACAUUUAGGUCAAAUAUAUAUGCUGUGGAUCAUACUGAACUACCAAUUUGACUUAAUAUUAGUAAAAGCUUAAAGGCAGGUGCCCAACAAUCUACAGUAACUUUUGAACACUUAAGAUAUAUGCUUGGCACAUCAAGUAGUGAUAACUCCGGAUUUAAUCGUUUUCCAAAUUUUUUUAUAAAAGACUGCUAGCAAUCCAUCAGGCCCUAGAGUCUUCGUUGGACACAUCUAUGCUAAGGCUUCAACAACUUCCUCUGUUGAGAAAGGCUUGUCCAAUUGCUCGUUCAUGUCAUUUGAGAGCCUCAGUGUUAUCCCUGAAAGAGCUGCUGCUAUUUGGUUCUAGCUCGGUCUGGAUGUGGUGAGCAGAUUUGUGAAAUAAGUGCAAAACUCAUACUCCAUUUCUUCAACAUUCUCAAUCCAUCUUCUUGUUUCAUCUUCAAUUCCCCAUAUUCUAUUCUUUUUCUUCCGCGAUGAGGCUUUAUGAUGGAGAAACUUGGUGUUCUUAUCCCCCUCUUUAAGUCGAUUCGCUCUCGAUUGUUGUUUCCAGAAAAUCUCUUCAUCGGCCAAUAUGUUAUGAAUAUGUCUUUCCACCCAUUUAAUUUCAUCCUCAAAUUCAUACUGCACCUUUUUUCCUUUAAGCUCUACAACUGUUUUUUCAACUUCUUCAGUUUCUUUUCUCUCCCUUUAAAUUCUUCCUUACUACACAGAAUCAAAGUAGCCAUGGAAUCUUUAGUCGCCUUCUGGGAUAAAUGUAUGGGAUCAUCAAUGUUCCAGCAUCCAUGUUUAUGCCAUUCUUCUUCAAUUAUACUUUUACAGGUGUCAUAUGAACUCCACAUAUCUUCAUAAUGGAUUCGUGAAGUUCUCCUUCUUUGAUAAUUCAGGUCAUUACCUCUAUCCUGAACAUCCAUCAACACUGGGUUGUGAUCGAACAUCCAACUCUCAAGAUUAGCAGCUACAGAUUUAAUAAAUCUCUCACUUCAAGCCUCAUUGCAUAAAAAUCUGUCUAAUCGUUCUUCCACAAAGUCAGGGCCAAAUAUUCCAUUAUCCUAUGUAAAUAGAUAUCUCAUGUAGCCCACAUCCUUUAGAUUACAAUCUCUUAAGGCUUCUCUGAAGUCACUAAUUUGGUUUGGAUUUCUAUCAUUGCCACCAUUCAUCUUAUAUAGGUGUAAAAUUUCAUUAAAAUCACCGAAACAUAACUAAGGUGUGGAAGAUAAACCUAAUAGCCGUCUCAACAAUGUCCAUGUGUGCUUUUUUUGCUGCAUCUCCGGAUGUCCAUACACCUCUGUACAUCGCAUUUGCUUUUCAUUGCCCAUUUGUUGUUCAGCAUCAAUGUGGUGCUUACUAAAUGACUUAAUAUGCACACAAAUUUCAAAGUUCCAAAGCAUUGUAAGACCUCCUCCCCUUCCACUACCAUCCACAGCAAAACAACUAUCAAAAUUUAGCUUACUACGAAUCGUAUCCAUUUGCAUAGAUUGUAACUUUGUCUCACUCAAAAACACAAGUUGAGGUCUAUGAAUUUGGAGAAUUUGUUGCAUUGCUAGGAACAUCCGGGAAUUCCCUAAACCCCAAACAUUCCAGCUGAGGCUUUUCAUGGCUUCUAGCAUUCUUGAUCGCCAGCCUCCACCGAUAUCUCUUCUAUGUUUGAGUCUGCAAUUUCUAUUCCCUUCAUUGCCAACGGUUCCCAGCUCAAAUUGAGUUUUGCCACUGGUGAAUUCAGCUGAUAUUGCUUUGUUUCUAAUUUGGGUAGGCUAGUCACUUUCAUCUUCUUUUGUUUUGGACUUGGCUCAGUGAGCUCACAACUUGGCCUUUUUAACACCCCUAACCUAUAUUUGUUUCCACCAUUGGAGUUUGUGCUUUGGGCUUGUAAUUUCCAUUUCCUUCUAUUGGGCCUCAUUGGAGCUCUUCGAGACCAAUUUCCUGUCUUUGCUUCAUUCGCGCCUUCUUAGCAAAGUAUCUCCUCAUAAACUUUAAUUGGUGUUACCUCCAAAAAUUCUCGCUUGUUUUUAACAUUUUUAUUUCUCGCCUGAACUCCCAUAUUUCCAGGUCCUCUUGCGUUUCCCUCUAUCUCAUGCUGCUUUUUGCCGCCUGCUUGUUGUGCCAUUGUUAUUUCCAACACACCAUUCAUUAAAUGUUUCUCACAUACUCGUUCCACCUCAUCACCUAUAGCUAAUUUAUAAUUUUGACCAAUUUCUUCCUGAUCGAGUCCUGAUUUGGUUUUGUCAAUCGGGUUACUUUGACUCUGUUGAGGUUGUUGUGAGCAGUCGUGGUGUUCUGAGUUUGCCGCAUUACUCACUGAUUUGCCACUAUCCCUAUUCCAUUUCUCCUUGAUACGGUGCUUCCUUGAGCGUCCUCCCACUGUAACUACCUUAAUCCACAUCUCAUAUGGAAGUUCCUCUUUUCAUUGGCCCUGAUACUUAGCACACUCCUUGAAUUAGUGGCCAAUAACUCCACAGUAGAAAUAAAAGUCAGGCAAUCAUUCAUAAUCUAUAUGCAUUGGAAUAUCUGUUUCAUCCUCUUGUAAGAUCUUUUCUAAUGGCUGAUUCAUAUUGAUCAAAAUUCUAAUUCUUACAAAUUCCCCAAUAUAUUCACUAUAUUCUUUUGUUUCAACCUCCUCUACUAUUUCAAUCUUCUCGCCCUAAUUCUUGGAGAAAAUAUCUUUCCAUACAACAACCGGGACAUUUUGAAUCUGCACCCAGAAUUCUGUAUGAGUGAAAGACUGUUUUGUGAUCUCCCCAAUUCUUUUCAGUUCUGUAAGGACAAUUAAGGCCCUAUCGAAGUGCCAAGGGCCUCCUGCCAUCACCCUUCUUUUAUCAGCUUCAUAUGCAAACUUGAACAAAAAGAUAUUAGCACCCAAGCUCUCUAUCAUAACUUCUUUAAUUGUCCUCUAAACUUGCAGUAAUGCCAUAUUCAACCCCUAUUUAUGAACUGCUCUCGUAAGAAGUAUCUUGCCCAUCAACUAGCCAACCAAAACCUUCUCUCUUUUUUCUUUCAUUCUCACUUCUAAAGUUACUCUAUUUUUUUCUUUCUCUUUGAUAGUUAUCGCUUUACACUUACGAAUUAAUUCCUCUGUAUCCAUAACAUUUAAAACCUUUCAGAAAUAAUUGUUGCAUUCACUGUUCUAAAAGUAACCUUGCGUUCAAACCCCUUACCUGUAACACCCUAGACAAAUCCCACAUCGGCAAAGCACAUCAGAGAUAAUGGGUUUAUAAAGGGUGGUCCACACGUUAAUUGGCAAGAUGCAUUUUGGGGUGUAUGGGCGCCGUAGAAACAAACAUGUGCGGGCCUUGUUAAGGUCCAACACAGAUAAUAUCUUACCAAGUCUGGGUUGGGUCAUAACAUUAUGGUACUAGAACGGCUCUGCAUGUCCUCUUAAGCAAUGGUGGGGCAAACCUCAGCGAGGACGCUGAGUCCCCAAUGGGGGUGUAUGUAACACCCUAGGCAAAUCUCAUAUCAGCAAAGCAUGGGAGAGAUGCUGGGAUUAUAAAAGGUGAUCCACACCUUAAUUAGUAAGACGCGUUUUGGGGUGUAUGGGUGCCCCAGAAACAAAAUCGUGCAGGCCUUAUUAAGGCCCAAACUGGACAAUAUCUUGUCAGGUCUGGGUUGGGUCAUCACAUUAUGGUAUCAGAGCGGCUCUGCGUUUCCUCUUGAGCGAUGGUGGGGCAAACCUCAGCGAGGACGCUGAGUCCCCAAGGCGGUGUAUGUAACACCCUAGGAAAAUCCUACAUCGGUAAAGCACGGGAGAGAUGUUGGGUUUAUAAGAGGUGAUCCACACUUUAAUUGGCAAUAUGCAUUUUGGGGUGUAUGCGCGCCCCAGAAAACAAACUCAUGUGGGCCUUGUUAAGAUUCAAAGCGGAUAAUAUCUUAUCAGGUCUGGGUUAGGUUAUGACAUUAUGGUAUAAGAGCGGCUCCAUGUUUCCUCUUGAGCGAUGGUGGGGCAAACCUCAGUGAGGACGCUGAGUCCCCAAGAGGGGGUGUAUGUAACACCCUAAGCAAAUCUCACAUCAGCAAAGCACAAAAGAGAUGUUGGGUUUAUAAGGGGUGAUCCACACCUUAAUUAACAAGACACGUUUUGGGCCUUCUAUAGGCGGCCCAGAAACAAACAAGCACAUCUAUUUUUUCAAAAUUAAUAGUUUAGUCUUAAAUGUGAACUUAUUUGGUGGCUGCAAAUUAUGAACCCAUUUUUUAUUUCGGUGAAAACGAAAAUGUAAAAUGCAAAACAGAAAAUGUAAAAUUAUAUAAUGAAAUAAUGAAAUAAUUAAUGUUUUCCCUAAGAUAUAGUAAAAGCAUAUGUUUCACCACAAAAUUUUGAAGCCGCACCGGUCCUCCCAGCCGUUUUAUUUAUUUAUUUAUAGUCUUCACAGAAAUGAAACUAAAACUCUCCUCACCCACGAGUGGUUGAAUCUAAGCCACUUAAAGUUAAUAAUUCAUGAAAUGGUGCCUUUGUUUGGUGGCGGUCGCGGGGCCUUGGCCUCUGAUUAAUAUUAUUCUUUUAGCGUGUGAAUUCCACAAAUCAAAACCCUUCGGAAUUUUAAUUAUUAUUUACCGAAAUAUCAUUUUCCCUAUGGCUUCUACAUAUUAUGCCUAUAGCUAGUGAUUGUUUUGUAAUUCAUAUAAAAAUUUAAUUUUAGAAUUGUAACUAUUUUAAUUAACUGAUGUAAGGUAAAUUCCUUAACAGAUAAAUUCAUCUAUGUUCUCUUAGAUUAUAAAAGAUAAAAGUAGCGUAAUUAAGUUCAAGAGAAAACUGAUUUUAUUAAAUUUCAAGGACGAAACGAAAAAAAAUAAUAAGAGAGAUAAAAGAAUUUCUAAGAGAACAAGAUUAUCAUUCGACAAAUAAAUUUAAAUUCAUAAAUUUUUCUGCCCGAUCUAAUAUUAAUUCUUAGCAGCAAGCCUACGGCACAAGCCACAUAUAUGCAUAAUUUUUAUUGGUUAAAACGUGACAUUGAUGAUGUUGAAAGAACAAAUAAUAAACAAUAAUACAGUAAAACCUCCAAAUAGAAAUACUUUAUAUAUGAAUAAUUUCUUUAUAGUAAUAAAAAACCGUGGCCCCAAUUUGGGACCAGUUAUAAUUAAAAAUAAAUUUCACAUUGUAAUAAGUUAUAUUUUUUUAUAGGUUCCGACUUAAUAAACUUACUUUCACAUAGUAAUAAUAUUUCAAAAAUAUAUGUCAUGUUACAUUAAAUAAUUAUUAAUUUAUUAAUACAUGACAUAAUUUACCCCUAUAUCACUUGCAUUAGUGAUAAUUAAGUAAAGACAAUAAUUUUUGUACUAUACUUUUAUUGAGUUAUAAUCUCUUUAUAAGAAUAAAUUUAUCCGGUCUCAACAAUAUGACUAUAUAGAGAAUUUACUGUACCAGGCUUUUUUAUGCGUAUAGAAGCAGGACGUGAACACAAAGACACAAGUUUAAUUAAUUUAUUUGAAAAUACAUAACAUGUUUCAGACAAGAAAAUUAGAUUAAACUCAACUUUGAUAGUUAAUUUAUUUGAAAAUACAUAACAUGUUUCAAACAAAGCGAAGAUUAAAUUCGAGUUUGUUAAGCACAAAAACUCUCUCGCAUAUGCCGCAAGCUAGCUUUUUAGAAAGAGCUGACCAAAUCACCCUCCGAUGAUGAUGAUCUUGUUGCAAUAUUACUGUUUCCAUUGACCCUCCUGCAGUUCAAUCUAAUCUCCCCUUGAUUUCCUGUCAGUGGUUUCAAAUUGCCCAUUCUUAUCAUUGAGGUCACAAAGUUUUUAAAGAAAGCAUUCUGGUUCCUCCCAAAGUCCUCGACAAUGGCAGCGGUAUCGGCACCAGGAGUCGAAAACAACUCUUGAUCACUCUGCAGAAGGCCUUUGCGGAGUCUAAGAUUGGAGAAGUAUUUGUUGUCGAAAACAUCAGGUGUUUUGACAUCAAAAUUAGCAAGAACGCCGCCGUUUCCACCUUGUGGGCAUAGUUCCCUCAGUUGCUUUAGCAGGGUUCUGUCCAGUGUCGGGUCUGGCUUGCCAGUGUUGUUGAAAUCGUAUAAUCUGCCCCUGAAAAAUCGGCACUGAGCCCUUCUAAACGUGUGAGCUCCUGAAAAACAUGCAUGCCCAAUUUUGAGUUAAGUAUACAUAAAUUUAAGGCAUAACACUCAUUUCUUAAAUUAAUUUUUGAGCGUGCGUUGCUAGUACCAUGCUCUUUUGACUUUUAAAAGUCUACUCCCAUAACUUUACUCAAGUAAUUAAAAGGAUGCAGAAGCAAUUAACAAUUACCGGAGAGUGCAACAAGAUCAAAAUUUUCAUUGAGGCCAACAUUUCUAAAACUAGAUUUGAGCACAUCAAGAGUAUCAGAUGGUCCUGGAAGUUUCUGAUUUGCAAGAGCUCUGUUUGCUGUUCUGCUGUCCCUUCUUCCCAAUGGAACUGCCCAUGACGGACCCCCUGACUGUAACCAAAAGUCAUUCACUCAAAAUCAACAAUAAUCUUAAGAGAUGUGCGUUUGGGGCGGACUAUUUAAUUUGCUAGCCGUUGAAUCAAAACUUUGUCGUAUAACAAAAGAACAAAACUUUUAAGUUUAAAACUAAGGCCUUGCUACGAUGCACCAGCGCAGUAAAAAGUGUCUCACUGUCAGUAACAAUUUAUCCCUUAAUAAUCACUAUAUUGACAUAUGUGUAGCAAUUUUGGUACCACACAGUGUAGCUGAUGCACCAUAGUCAAUAAGUUACCCCUUUUAAAUAAGGGAAAAAUUGUGGUGCAAAUAUGGUACCGUGCUAUUGUUGCAUCCAGCUAUUAAAUUCUAAUAGACUCCACUCAUCCAAGUGGAUUCAACGGCUGAAUGUAACUGUAGCACAAUAUCACAAUUACACCGUAGCCGAACCCUUUAAAUAAUGGAGUCCACUGCGUCGUCCCAAUUUAAUAAUGAUGGGUCCAACUAUGAAUCCCUUCACUUAAAUCAAAGGCUAAACAUGUGGACUCAGAUCUUGCACAUGUGAAUAAUUAUUUAAUUAAUGUAUUCUUCUAAGGGUAAAGUUGAACUUACGGGUUAUUUAAUUAACUGAAAAAUAAUAUAAAAACAUGUUUAAUUUAUAGGGGUUAUUAUUAAUUGAAAAAAUAAUUAAAAAUUACAUUAAUACUGCAAAGAUUUACCAUUAUUCUGUUCACUUAUUUUGAUACCCAUCUAUAUAUAUAUAUAUAUAUAUAUUUCAUGGCUUAAAUUACAUCAACUAAUUAAUAUAGGAAGUCUCUUUCAUCUUCCAUCAACAAUGCCACUAUUAGAACCUAAUUUUAAUAUCAUAAUCAUAUAUUUAAUUAUGCAACAUUUUGUUUAGUGACUUUUAGCUUCUUCAAACUCUCUAAAGAUUAAGUAUUUAAGAUUUGUUAUGUUUAAGUCUUUUUUUUAUUAUUUAACCAACAUCCUCUUUAGAAAAGAUUCUUUUGUUUUUAUUUUUUGAUUUAUUUGAAUUUUUAGUUGAAUGAUAAGGGUUAGCCUUUGUAGGAAGUGGGAGUCUGUUACUACUAAGAAGAAUGGAGAAUUGAUUAGUGUGGACAUAAUUUUUAUUGAUGAAAAUGUUGUAUAAAAAAUUCAUUCUCCUAUUGUUUUCCUUUUUUUCCCAAUUAUUUUACACUUAUUGUAACUUUUUUUUAUAGGAAAAUCUAAUGCAUGCAACAAUCAGGAAAAAUUUAGUGAUAAGGUUUAGGCAUAUGUUGAGUAAGGGUUCUUUGUACAGUGUCAAGAAUUUGAAAGUUGUUUCAACUACAGGCGGAUACAGACUACUUUCAAAUCAGUAUAAGAUUAUUUUCUUGGUUAUAACUUCGCUUAGGAGGUUAGUAGAGGAACUGUUAAGAUUCUGAUCAAUGGAUUUCAAUUUGUAUCUCCGAAUUUGAUUGAUUUACGUGUGAAUGAUAACACAAUCCUCUUAGGUAUUUCUUUUAAUUAUUAAUGUUUGUUAAUCUUUAGGUGUAUAUUAGAAAUUAUUGAUCCUUAUGUUUUGACAUGUUUAUGUUAUUUUUCUAUGAUAUUACAAAUGUUGUCGAAAUUUUAUGUGGUGUGAGUGAUAUGAGAUCGUUGGAGCUGGUUGGAGAAAAAGAGAUAUAAAAGUUCUAACAAAGUAGUAAGUUGAAUAUAAUCAAGAAAACUAUGACUAUAUAUUUUUUUAGUUAUUGUUUUAUCACAAGAAUUAAUUAACAGUUUGACUUCACUAAUCUUAUUAGUUAUUAUCUAAGUUUUAAUUUUCUUUUACAAUGAAUACAUCCAAUAUUUGUUGAAGAAAAACAGUUAAAAGUACAAUGAAAAAGGGUAUAGCACUUAGAGAUUAUUCAACGUAUUCACAAGAAAAAUUAAUUAGAAAAUAUUAAAUUUUUUUCAAAGCCGCGCGAAGUGCGGUUUUAUUUCCUAGUAUAUAUAUAAAGCUGGGACUACAACAGGUAAUGUGACAUCAUUAUUUCUCAUCUUCUUAUAUUCUCUAUUAUCUAAUACAUUAGUUGAAAUUAAAAAAAUAAUUACAUUACAAAAUAUUAAAAAUAGAAAAUAAUUAUUAGAUUACAAAAGAUUACAUGUCUCUUCCUCUUUCUGUUUAAAUUCAACAAUAUGUAACCAUUAAUAAUAAUUAAUUAUAAGUCUUGAAACAUUCAUUUAUUUUAUUAUACCAACAAUUAAACUUUAAUGGCUUAAAAUACAUUAAUUAAUUAAUAUAGGAAGGAAGGUUCCUUUAUUUUCUCUCAACAAUGUCAUUAGGGCCUAAUUUUAAUGUCAUAAUCCUAUAUUUAAUUAUGCAACCUUUUGUUUAGUACUUUUUGACUUCUUCAAACUUUAUAAACAUUAAGUAUUUAAUAUUUGUGGCAUCGUUAUUUCUCAUCUUUUUAUAUUUUCAUUAUCUAAUAUAUUGGUUGAGAUUAAAAAAUAAUUACAUUACAAAAUAUUAUAAAUAAAAAAUUAUUAUUGGAUUGCAAAAGAUUACAUGUCUCUUCCUCUUUUUAUUUAAAUUCAACAAUAUGUAACUGUUAAUAAUAAUUAAUUAUAAGUCUCGAAACAUUCAUUUAUUUUAUUAAGCCAACAACUAAACUUUAGUGGCUUAAAAUACAUCAACUAAUUAAUAUAAGAAUGAAUGUUCUUUCAUCUUCCUUCACCAAUUAUUUUAGGGCUUAAUUUUGUUAGAGUGCAAUUUAUGCACUAGUUUUGCAUUGUUUACUUCCCUUAAUAUCGAUGUUUUGCACUUAAUAAUAAUGUUUUACUUGUGUUUUACUUUUGUAGGUGCAAUUCUAUUGAUUGGUGAUAAAAUUGAGCUAAAAGAUGAUGUUUAAGGAGGAUUGUUCUCUUGGAGAAAUUAUGAGCGUCAGAAGAACUUUGUUGGUAAGGCGUGGGCGCGUGCUGUCAAAUGCGGACCUGCAGUUUUUAGUUUAACGUGUUUUGUAUUUUUGGUUAUUUUUGUAAUUACGAAUUUAAUAUUUUAGAUAUUAGUAUUUUAUUUUAAAUAGAAUUCUAAAAGAGAAGAGAGAGAGAGUAUUUAAGGGAGGAAUCUAUUGUGAAGAGAGGGGGGAUUUGGAUUGGAGAAAAAGAAAGAAACCCUAGAUCUUAAUUUUUCUCUUCUCUCUAUAAAGAACUAAACCUAUUUUUCUGGUUGAAGGAUAAUGAAGUUUUGAUUCAUCACUAUUGUGAGAUCUUUCUUGUGCUUUAAUUGUUUUAUUACUUUUUGGGUAUUUGUUUAUUCUCUGAAUUAUUUUCAUGAUUAUGUUUGUUAAUUAGGUAAUUGGCCACUAUUUAAUUAUCAACUUAAUCUAUUGUCAAUUAAAGGAUUCAUUGUAUGAAGAAUUUAAUGUUUGUGACAAAUAACAUAGCAGAGAGUUGUGUUGUGAGAAUAAACAAUCUAAUUUAAAUGAAUCAUCAUAUGUGUUGAUUAGGAUUUGCGUCUCUCUGGUUUUUCAGGCUGUCAAUUGAUUAAAUCCUAUGAUCGUAUUUAGGGUUGUCUAUUGAUUAGGGAAAUAACCAACGGUCGUACCUUGGUUAUCGACUAGUUAAGGAGAGAUUGGCUAUUAGAGGGUCUCAGUAGCUAUAACCGGUCUAUUCAUAAGUAAUAAUAAUCUAUAUUUGAAUCAAUGAUCAGUAGUCGAAUCAAGCUGAGUUAAUUCCUUCAACCAGAGCUUUCUCCAAUUUGAAUCACAACUUUAAUUUACAUUCUCGUUAUUUUAAUUUGAUUUUUAUUAUUGUCAACAAUUCCCCCAUUUUACGUUUUACGUUUCCAAAGGGUUUAAAUAAUUACCGAUCUCUGUGGACACGACCCUGCUCAAUCACUAUACACAAUUUAUUUAGAGUAGGAAUUUAUUUUUGUUGGCUUCGACACCCAUCAAAUUUUAAUGUCAUAAUCUCAUAUUUAAUUAUGCAACCUUUUGUUUGGUGCCUUUUGACUUUUUCAAACUCUAUAAACAUUAAGUAUUUAAGAUUUAUUAUGUUUGAGAUUUUUUUUAUUAUUUAACCAACAUUCGCUUUAGAAAUAUUCUUGUGUUUUUAUUUUUUGACUUAUUUAAAUUUUUAGUAUUGUGUGCUUCAUGGAGCACUCUUUUCUUCAUGAGUUGAAAAAUGAUAAAGAUAAUUGGAUGAUAAGUGUUAGGCUUUGUAGGAUAUGGGAGUAUGUUAAUACCAAGAAGAAUGUAGAAUUGAUUAGUGUGAACAUGAUUUUUAUUGAUGAAAAUGUUGUAUAAAAUUUCCUUCUCCCAUUGUUUUCUCUAUUUUUUUCCAAUUUUUUUACACUUAAUGUAGCAUUUUUUUUUAAGGAAAAUCUAAUGCAUGCAAUAAUUAGGAAAAAUUUAGCGACAAUGUUUAGGCACAUGUUAAGUGAGGGUUCUUUAUACAAUGUCAAGAAUUUGAAAGUUGUUUCAAUUACAGGCGAGCACAAAUCACUUUCAAAUCAGUAUAAGAUUAUUUUAUUGGUUAUAACGAGGUUAAAAGAAGGAACUGUUAAGAUUCCAAUUAAUGGAUUCCAAUUCAUAUCUACGAAUUUGAUUGAUAUACGUGUGAAUGAUAACACAAUCCUCUCAGGUAUUUUUUUUAAUUAUUAAUGUUUGUUAAUCUUUAAGUGUAUAUUAGAAAUUAUUGAUCCUUAUCUUUUAACAUGUUUAUGUUAUUUUUCCAUAAUAUUAUAAAUGUUGUCGGAAGUUUAUGUGGUGUGGGUGAUAUUGAGAAUUUUUGGAGUUGGUUGGAAAAAAAAAAAAGAGAUAUAAAAGUUCUAACAGAUUAGCAAGUUGAAUAUAAUUUGGAAUUUCCCAACAACUACAAAAGGUAUAAGGUCUAUACACUUACACUAUACACAUUAAUAUAUACUUUUAAAGUUAACAAAAAAAUAAUUAACUUUCAUAAAUAACAUUAGUUUUAUAAGACCGCCUCAUCUUUAAAAAAAAAAUCAAUUCAUAUUUUUUAUCAGUUUUAUCAAGUAUAAAGUAAGAAAAAAGAAUAAUAUUAAAUUUUGUCUUUCAAAGCCACGCGCGGUUCUAUUUUCUAGUAUUAAUUUACUUCUAAGCAUAAAAUAUUAAUAAGGAAGAGGAGUUGGUAAAAGAAAUUCAUACCAAAGCAACGGAUCGUUCAGCCACAAUAGUAAGAAUAUCAGCGCAGGAAACAACCCUUGGACAUGCCUUUUCAACGGCAGCUUUCAUGUUAUCAAUAACUUCGAAACCCCUCGCCGAAUUAUUAUUUGGCGCAGCAAAUUUCUCGCUGUCUAUGUUUUUAGUGCUGUCCAGCAAAAUCGAUGCAUCACACCCCCGAAAAAAUAGUAUUAGUUAACAACUUGCUAUGUUAACAGUCCAUUAUAUUGUUAUUUUAACAAGUAGAUAGAUUCCUUCUUAUCUUAUGGACAUGAAUUCAAAAAAAUUAAAUAAAUAAUGCAAACUCUUCUUAUUUAAAUUGUCUUAUUAUUACAUAUGUUUUUAAGACUAGGAUUUCCUGUUGAUUUAAAUUUUUCGGUUGGAAGAAUAUAAAACAAGUGUGAUUUUUUUUCAACCAUACACCAUUAAUAUUGGCACUGAGCAGGGAUGAGGCCAUGAGGUGGAUUUGAAUUCCUGUUUUGGACCAAAUCUUUGCUAGAUUUAAAUUUCUAGUACAUGAAAACCCCAUAUUAAAAUUUAUUUAUAAACAAAGAAUUACAUGGUCCUCGGUACAUCGAAUUAGAGAGGAAAAAUUUGUCGUAAAGAGAAAAGAAAAAGAGAAAAAAAAAAGAUAUAUAAAAAUGGUUUUGGAAGUUGUUGAAAUUAAAAUGAUAUAUUCAAACUUUUAAUGAAAACUCUAUAUUUUGUUUAAUGACACAAAAAAUUAUAAAGAUACUGUUCAUUGACAUGCUUGAAACUAUGUUAUAUCAAUAAGUAAAUAGACAGAGAGCUUGAUAAGUAAAGAAGAUGAAAAAUGAGAGAGCAGAGAUUGCUUACAUCAACAAAACAGUCAUGGAAAUGAAGCCUGAUGAGGCUGGCACCGAUGCGGAUAUCGGACGAGAAAGCUUUCUUAAGCACAUCCUCGAUAAUGUUCAAUACAUUAGGGCACGUGGAAGAAUAAAAAGAGGAAGAAAGUUGAGCUUGAGAUGGUGAUCCCUCAAGCACAAAAGCAACAACAAGAGCUGCUGCAAGAAGAUAACGAGGUGAAGCCAUUUUGUCUAAGAGUUACUACUUCUCUAUUAAGAGAAUAAUUAGUCUUAGGACUUGGAAAACAAAGAGAAAUGCCUCUUUAUUUAUAACCAAACAAACCAGAUUAGGAUUAGAACUUUGCAGCAACCUCGAAGUUUAAUUUCAAAUGAGGUUUUAAAAUAUAGCAGUAAAUAUUUUCUAAAUAAUUUAAUGUUGUAUUUUAAAAGGUAAAUCGGUCUUACUUUAAUUUCAAAUGAGGUCUUGAUUAAUUGAAACCUCAAGUGGGAGUUAAAUAAUUAAGAAAUGGCUGGAUGACUUUUGAAAUGGGUAAAAAAUGAUUUUAUUAAUGAUCAUUGAAAAGAUAACUGUUGCUACUAAUGUUUUCUUUUAUGGGGAAAAAGGAUCAUAAUAAUUGCAAAAUGGUUUAGUGAAAUAGUACGGAGAUUCUAUUGGUUUUAGAAAUUAUAUAGGCUCUUUUUUGGUACACACAGACCAUAAAAUUGUCAAAUAGAUUUUUAAAAUUUGUUCAAAAAUAAGUUUUGUUAUCCCAUAAAAAAAGUAUGUAUGGCUAUUUUUAAAAGGCAAGUGCUAAGUUACAUGCAAUGUAACUUACAUCACUCAUAUACUUUGCAUAUAACUGUUCAUGUGAGUGAGUGUAUGUUACAUUGCAUAUAAUUUAGAGGGAUCCUUUUUAAAAAUAAAAGAUUCUUCCCUACUAUUUUGUCAAAUUACGAAUAAUUGACAAAAAGUAGAAAGAAAUAUGUAAGAAAAAGGUGUUUUUUCGGUUAAUAUUUUAAAGCUAGAGGAUAAAAUGGAUCACUAAAAACUGGAAAGUGACUCAGAUGACAAUGCGUAUCGAUGACAUAGGAAAAAAAAAAAACACAUACUGUAUGACAAGGAUUUCUGAUACAUAGAAAGCAAGGAUGUGAAUACACAAACACAACCUUAGUUUAUUGAAAAUAAAAAGCAUGUUUCAGGCAAAACAUAGGAGUAAAUUCACGAGUUUGUUACCCACAAACUCUAUCUC
This 42040-nucleotide long non-coding RNA is filed under the name Citrus maxima (pomelo). RNAcentral's name for it is "long non-coding RNA (CMAX_LNC000475)". Lineage: Eukaryota; Viridiplantae; Streptophyta; Magnoliopsida; Sapindales; Rutaceae. The record is from RNAcentral.